AGUAUCAGAGGAUGAAACCUUGAAACAAUCUUAGGACACCUUCUGACACAGUGCUUAUUUUCCUGUGAAUGAGAAGUCAUUUAUAUUCUGAUGAUACA
Non-coding RNA from Triticum aestivum (bread wheat), 98 nucleotides. The record is from Rfam. NCBI's taxonomy places the organism in Eukaryota, Viridiplantae, Streptophyta, Magnoliopsida, Poales, Poaceae.